RNAcentral lists this ribosomal RNA (479 nucleotides) under uncultured bacterium. Its description in RNAcentral is "SSU rRNA". It matches the Rfam family "Bacterial small subunit ribosomal RNA", at positions 26 to 518 of the family's 1533-position model. The record is from RNAcentral.
AGAAUGAACGUUGGCGGCGUGGAUUAGGCAUGCAAGUCGUACGGGCCUUGCUUGCAAGGCCAGUGGCGCAAGGGUGAGUAAGGCGACGGUAACCAACCCCACGGGUGGGUAUAGCCGCGGGAAACCGCGGGUAAUCCCCAGCGACGUCCGGGAGGGGCAUCCCUCCUUGACCAAAGCUCAGGCGCCGUGGGACGGGCCGUCGUGGUAUUAGCUUGUUGGCGGGGUAACGGCCCACCAAGGCGGCGAUGCCUACCGGGCGUGCGAGCGUGGCCCGGCACACUGGGACUGAGACACUGCCCAGACUCCUACGGGAGGCUGCAGUCGAGAAUCUUCGGCAAUGGGCGCAAGCCUGACCGAGCGACGCCGCGUGGAGGACGAAGGCCUUCGGGUUGUAAACUCCUGUCGAGGGGGAAGAAGGGGGCGCAAGUCCUUGACUGAUCCCUGGAGGAAGCACGGGCUAAGUUCGUGCCAGCAGCCGC